GUUUUUCCAAUCCAGGAAGGCGAUGCAGCUCUGCCUUCAACUCUUCCAUUUCCUUUUCUAUUGUGUCCAUCCUGCUGUCUAUCUUUUUCUGUGCCAUCAUGAAGAACCGCUCUAAUACCAAUUUGUUAAUAUACCAACUGGAAAGAACUAGUUCGAGUUAUGAAUAAACAACUCUUUGAUUGAAAGAAGAACAAUUACAGAAAAUAGAAUGAUAACAAAGCCUGUAGAAGGCUGUAAAUGAGACAUUACUCCACUAUUCUCUCGAAUAUUGCCAACCUCUUCAAUUCUUUCUCCUCCUAUUUAUGGACUUCCCCCAACAGAUUUAUUCCCCUUCUCCCCACUUGCCCUUGUAACCAAUUUAAGUUACUCCCUCCUUCCAGCUGCUUGUCCAUCCUUCUUGACUUUUCUAGAAUAGAUGGGAGGUCUAUCAGUGUGCUGGAAGCUAUCACAGACAGUUGUAACAACAUUAUUGGUACUUUUCCUUUGUAAUAUGUUACAUUCUAAUCUUCAUAUUCGGUGAAUGGAACGUGUUGCAACAAAAAUCAAGAACUAAUUGCAUGCUGGCGCAGUUGAAACGAUUUGAAACAUGGCACAAACAAGGAAUAACAAUGUAGUAUAAAUUAAUAAAAUUGAAUGUAGAUCAUUUAUUCAGCACCAAAAACAUUCAGAAUUCCAUCUUAAAGCAUCUAACCUGAAACCUUGGCACACUAUUAGAUAGAAUUGGACAAUACAACGAGCUAUAAUUUAUCUUACUUUGCUCUUUUAAUACAAUAUUGCGUGCUAUCUACUGUUAAUGUAUGAAGUGAGUCCAAAUCCGUAUAAGUUAUCUUUGAAAAAAAAUUAUUCACUGAUGACACCUCUUUAUAUUUCUGCAAUGCAUUUUAUCAUAGUGACUAACUGACUAGGCAAUCAAGUAUUCAUGAUGUUGAGUAAGGUAGAAAGGAGAAAAAGUUAUGAUUUUUCAGGUUGUGACUACUUUGAUGGCAAUAAACUCAACUGCCGAACCAAAAUAGAACUCUUGUGCACAUACGUGGACCCGUUUUAUAUAAUUUUAGAACAAUUACAGGUCCUACAAUAUCCUUUGGCAUAUUAACAGUUCUUGUUUGUUGAUGUUCGAAUUAAACCUCUGCCAUACUGCAAAUCUUUCAGUGAAGUAGCAUAUCAAAAAUUCAUUACCAUAAACAAGUUUCUGAGUUUCCAUUUGUGAUUGUACAGGUAGUCAUUUUCAUUUUCUGACAUGAAGUUUCUUUAUUUUUCCAGGCCGUUGCAUCUUUCAGAUUAAUCGUAUGACUAGUACAAGGCUUCCGAUUUUCAUGUUUUUCAGGAGGCCAAUGUUACAGUGAAAACUGUAGAUCCAAAAUUACAGUAUGACAUUUCCUUUUGAGGUAAGUCAUCCUUGCAAAUUAAGAGUAUGUUUUAGAAGUGUUUAUGAACAGUUUAUGCCCCAUUUGACAGCCUUUUUUUUUUUUUUUUUUUGGAAAGAAUGAGUUUUUGAAUAAUAAUUUUUUUGGAGAAUGUGUGGUUGAAAAGUAAGAAUUUUGGGUUUCCAUGAAGAAUAUUUUAUUAUGAAAAUGUGAUUGAAAAUGAGCAUGAGAAAAAAAGAGUUUUGAAAGAAUGAUUAUCAAAAAUGAGCUUAUAAAUGGAGUGAGUGUGAUAUGUUGAUAGUACUUGUGGAUUCCUCGAAAUGUGAAAAAAAAUGACUUGAAAGUUUAGAAACAGUUUAUACACGAGCCAAACAUAAGGUAAAAGGAAUAAACAUUCUUGAGGAUGUGAUUUUGAGUAAAUAAUGGUAUUGUUAUGUCAAGCAUGAAUAUCAUGGCCACCAUACUUAAAGGAUGAAAAGUUGACUUCUCGGAAUGCAUAUAACAUGUUCGUCAUAAUGUCUAAAAAAAGUAAUUUUUUGUACAAACGAUCCAAAACAAAGAAGUAACUUUAAAAUAACCUUAAAACAUGUUCGGCAAUGAAAAUAACUUUAAGCUUAGCUAAACAUGUUCUAGAUACAUUAUAUAUGACCCUUUGUUUUAAGUACGCAAUUUCUUUUAUUUUGCUAUACGGUCUUGACUUGAUCAUUACAUGAUUUGAUCUAUCAACUUUAUUUUAUUUAUCUUUUUCCCUUGUAGGUGCAUGAUUUGAACAGCAAAGGCUGCUGCUAAACUUCCAAUGUGGAGCAUUAUGUAGUUUGUAAUUGACUCGAUUGGUUGGUUUGUAAAUUAUGUGAAAUGAACAAUUACCGUCUUCUUUAUGUCAUAUCUUCUAGCUUGUGACUUGAUUAUACUGAUGUAUUCUUAAAAUUGAAUUGUCAUUUGUGAAUUUAGAACAAAUCGAGAAAUUAAAGAAAUCGAAAUAUUUGGUUUGGUUUGGUUUGGUUGUAACCAAGCCAAGUACCCAUCUCUACAAAUAAGGUCCAAAUAUUGUAACAAAAUAAAUUGUCGAACGUCU
This 2439-nucleotide long non-coding RNA is filed under the name Olea europaea subsp. europaea. The record is from RNAcentral. Lineage: Eukaryota; Viridiplantae; Streptophyta; Magnoliopsida; Lamiales; Oleaceae.